RNAcentral lists this ribosomal RNA (537 nucleotides) under uncultured bacterium. Its description in RNAcentral is "bacterial SSU rRNA". It matches the Rfam family "Bacterial small subunit ribosomal RNA", at positions 995 to 1529 of the family's 1533-position model. The record is from RNAcentral.
CGACUCUAGAGAUAGAGUCUUCCCCUUCGGGGGACAAAGUGACGGGUGGUGCAUGGUUGUCGUCAGCUCGUGUCGUGAGAUGUUGGGUUAAGUCCCGCAACGAGCGCAACCCUUAAGCUUAGUUGCCAGCAUUAAGUUGGGCACUCUAAGUUGACUGCCGGUGACAAACCGGAGGAAGGUGGGGAUGACGUCAAAUCAUCAUGCCCCUUAUGAUUUGGGCUACACACGUGCUACAAUGGACAAUACAAAGGGCAGCUAAACCGCGAGGUCAUGCAAAUCCCAUAAAGUUGUUCUCAGUUCGGAUUGUAGUCUGCAACUCGACUACAUGAAGCUGGAAUCGCUAGUAAUCGUAGAUCAGCAUGUUACGGUGAAUACGUUCCCGGGUCUUGUACACACCGCCCGUCACACCACGAGAGUCUGUAACACCCGAAGCCGGUGGAGUAACCAUUUAUGGAGCUAGCCGUCGAAGGUGGGACAAAUGAUUGGGGUGAAGUCGUAACAAGGUAGCCGUAUCGGAAGGUGCGGUUGGAUCACCUC